This 253-nucleotide ribosomal RNA is filed under the name uncultured bacterium. RNAcentral describes it as "partial 16S ribosomal RNA". It matches the Rfam family "Bacterial small subunit ribosomal RNA", at positions 524 to 777 of the family's 1533-position model. The record is from RNAcentral.
UACGUAGGGGGCUAGCGUUGUCCGGAUUUAUUGGGCGUAAAGAGCGUGUAGGCGGCCUGACAGGUCUGCUGUGAAACUCGAGGCUCAACCUCGAGAUGUCGGCGGAAACCGUCUGGCUAGGGUCCGGAAGAGGAGAGUGGAAUUCCCGGUGUAGUGGUGAAAUGCGUAGAUAUCGGGAGGAACACCAGUGGCGAAGGCGACUUCCUGGCCUGUUCUUGACGCUGAGGCGCGAAAGCUAGGGGAGCAAAACGGG